AGUGAACGCUGGCGGUAGGCCUAACACAUGCAAGUCGAACGGCAGCACAGUAAGAGCUUGCUCUUACGGGUGGCGAGUGGCGGACGGGUGAGGAAUACAUCGGAAUCUACUUUUUCGUGGGGGAUAACGUAGGGAAACUUACGCUAAUACCGCAUACGACCUACGGGUGAAAGCGGGGGAUCUUCGGACCUUGCGCGAUUGAAUGAGCCGAUGUCGGAUUAGCUAGUUGGCGGGGUAAAGGCCCACCAAGGCGACGAUCCGUAGCUGGUCUGAGAGGAUGAUCAGCCACACUGGAACUGAGACACGGUCCAGACUCCUACGGGAGGCAGCAGUGGGGAAUAUUGGACAAUGGGCGCAAGCCUGAUCCAGCCAUACCACGUGUGUGAAGAAGGCCUUCGGGUUGUAAAGCCCUUUUGUUGGGAAAGAAAAGCAGCAGGUUAAUACCCCGCUGUUCUGACGUUACCCAAAGAAUAAGCACCGGCUAACUUCGUG
This 492-nucleotide ribosomal RNA is filed under the name uncultured bacterium. RNAcentral's name for it is "partial 16S ribosomal RNA". It matches the Rfam family "Bacterial small subunit ribosomal RNA", at positions 29 to 507 of the family's 1533-position model. The record is from RNAcentral.